ACACGACUACGAGUUGAUCCUGGCUCAGAACGAACGCUGGCGGCAUGCCUAACACAUGCAAGUCGAACGAACCCUUCGGGUUAGUGGCGCACGGGUGCGUAACACGUGGGAAUCUGCCCUUUGCUUCGGAAUAACAGUUAGAAAUGACUGCUAAUACCGGAUAAUGUCUUCGGACCAAAGAUUUAUCGGCAAAGGAUGAGCCCGCGUAGGAUUAGCUUGUUGGUGAGGUAAAGGCUCACCAAGGCGACGAUCCUUAGCUGGUCUGAGAGGAUGAUCAGCCACACUGGGACUGAGACACGGCCCAGACUCCUACGGGAGGCAGCAGUGGGGAAUAUUGGACAAUGGGCGAAAGCCUGAUCCAGCAAUGCCGCGUGAGUGAUGAAGGCCUUAGGGUUGUAAAGCUCUUUUACCAGGGAUGAUAAUGACAGUACCUGGAGAAUAAGCUCCGGCUAACUCCGUG
Molecule: ribosomal RNA, 460 nt
Filed under: uncultured bacterium
Lineage: Bacteria
Description: bacterial SSU rRNA
Rfam family: Bacterial small subunit ribosomal RNA
Source: RNAcentral